CAAUAGCGUAUAUUAAAGUUGUUGCAGUUAAAAAGCUCGUAGUUGGAUUUCUGGUAGGAGUGACCGUUCCGAACUUGAUUGUUCGUGUAUUGUGUUUUCUCCAGCCAUCCUUGUGGAGAACUUUUCUUGCAUUAAUUUGUAGGGAUUGGGACCCGCAUCGUUUACUGUGUAAAAAUUAGAGUGUUUAAAGCAGGCAAUCGCUUGAAUACAUUAGCAUGGAAUAAUAAGAUAGGACUUUGGUACUAUUUUGUUGGUUUGCAUACCAAAUUAAUGAUCAACAGGAACAGUUUGAGGAUAUUCGUAUGAACAUGUCAGAGGUGAAAUUCUUGGAUUUUGAUCAGACGAACUACUGCGAAAGCAUUUAUCAAGGAUGUUUUCAUUAA
RNAcentral lists this ribosomal RNA (383 nucleotides) under uncultured eukaryote. RNAcentral's name for it is "partial 18S ribosomal RNA". It matches the Rfam family "Eukaryotic small subunit ribosomal RNA", at positions 592 to 976 of the family's 1831-position model. The record is from RNAcentral.